AUUGAACGCUGGCGGCAGGCCUAACACAUGCAAGUCGAACGGUAACAGGAAGAAGCUUGCUUCUUUGCUGACGAGUGGCGGACGGGUGAGUAAUGUCUGGGAAACUGCCUGAUGGAGGGGGAUAACUACUGGAAACGGUAGCUAAUACCGCAUAACGUCGCAAGACCAAAAAGGGGGACCUUCGGGCCUCUUGCCAUCGGAUGUGCCCAGAUGGGAUUAGCUAGUAGGUGGGGUAACGGCUCACCUAGGCGACGAUCCCUAGCUGGUCUGAGAGGAUGACCAUCCACACUGGAACUGAGACACGGUCCAGACUCCUACGGGAGGCAGCAGUGGGGAAUAUUGCACAAUGGGCGCAAGCCUGAUGCAGCCAUGCCGCGUGUAUGAAGAAGGCCUUCGGGUUGUAAAGCACUUUCAGCGGGGAGGAAGGGAGUAAAGUUAAUACCUUUGCUCAUUGACGUUACCCGCAGAAGAAGCACCGGCUAACUCCGUG
RNAcentral lists this ribosomal RNA (490 nucleotides) under uncultured bacterium. Its description in RNAcentral is "partial 16S ribosomal RNA". It matches the Rfam family "Bacterial small subunit ribosomal RNA", at positions 30 to 507 of the family's 1533-position model. The record is from RNAcentral.